Penaeus vannamei (Pacific white shrimp) is the source of this 206-nucleotide non-coding RNA. NCBI's taxonomy places the organism in Eukaryota, Metazoa, Arthropoda, Malacostraca, Decapoda, Penaeidae. The record is from RefSeq and is a predicted model, not a curated record.
CGGAAAUGGUGACAACCGACCACAAAGUGCUUCCAAAAACAUUACAAGAAACACGGGGAAUAUUGAAAUUCAAGAAAUAUGUGAGGGGAAAAUUGUUCUGGGAUACGGGGAAUCUGUUGUUGUCUACACCGACAAUGACCGCCAGAAGAAGAAAUGCAAAAACAAGAUUAAAACUCCUAAAGGCACCGAGAUCGGUUUCUUCUGUC